UAAACAUGGAUCAAAUCCUCUAACCUAGUUGAGUUAAGAUGUGUUUGGAUACCUAUAUAUUUUUUUCAAUUCACCAAUCUAUUCCUUCCCCUUUCUAUACUUGAGAAAGGGUGAAUUGACAUUUGAAGUCUCAGACCAGAUGACAAACCAAACACUGUCUUUUUGCCUGAUAAAUUCUUGAUGUGGUUCCUGCAUCAGCAUUGUUUCAUAAGUAGUUAUGGAAUUCAAUUGCCUUCAUGGGUUUGAAUAGUUUAUGAGAAGUUCUUCAUCAAAAAAACUCAACAACAACAUCUUCCUCUUUUGCACUCUCUUUUCCUCUCAGACAUUUCUUCUGCCAUGUGUCUUGCCUCUUGCAGAAACAUGUGUUCUAUCAGCUCUUCUGUCUCCUAUUCCUUCACCUGAAUUUCUCGACUGCAAAAAAAUAUAUAGAUUCAUUCUUACAAGUUGAAUUUAAACUUGCUACAUAUGGAGUGUGAAGUUUCUUAGAUUCAAUAUCUAUUUGUGGCUCUUUUUUUCAUAAAUUUGCAUGAUACGUUUGAAUCACCACUAGCAGCAAAAUUCAUCUUUACUUAUUUAACUUAACCAAGUUUGAAUCGAUAUUUAAUAAAAUUUACUGGUAUUCAAUUAAAAUUUUAAAAGACUAGAAAACUUAAUUGUUAUUCAAAAUCAUGUAUAUUUUAAUAGAUUAUUUGAUUCAUUAGACUUCUAUGGAUUUAAUAGGACUUUUUUAUUUUUAAGUAUAAAUAUUAUUCUUAUAGGACUAUUUUUUUAUAUAAGAAUAAUAACAGUAGUAUUCUCUUUUUCAAUUUUAAAUAUUUUUCUACAUCCAAGUAACUAUUCUUUUGCUAUUGUUCUGAAAUAUAUUUUCAACAGUUAUUGUUUUUCUAUUAUCUAUGAUUGUUGAAUUAAUGAAAAUAAGAUUUUAUUUUAUUCUGAUUUGGUUAUUAUUGAGCUAACUAAUAAAUUGCUACUAUGUUUUAGAUGUAUGAAAAAAAAAAUUGUUUUGAAUUCUUAUUCACAAGUUCAGUUUAUUUUCACUAUAUAUAAUAAAUUAUGAAGUACAUAUCUCUCCAUUAUACAUAUAUUUGGAUAAUAAAGUUGUUCCUUAUUUACAAUAAUAACUUUUCCAUUUUAAAGGAAUUAUCAUAGGAUUUAUAUAGACUGCUAUAAAAUGCACUUUAAUCUAACAGCUUUACAGAAUAAGAGAGAGAGAGAUACACUCUUUAUGAUUUGAUCCAAGUAUACUAUUAACCCUAGUUCAUAAGAUAAAGUUGAUACCACACUCAUAUACACUGUUUCAGCAACAUUACUAAUCAACUUUAAAUCUCCAAGAUUCAAAGUAAAUAAUGAGAAGCCAUUUGAAGAAACAUAACCCAAAAUAAGACAGAAGCCAUUUGAAGAAAAAGAAAAGUUGUGAUAGUGAUGUACUUACGUUCCUUAAGGUUCCGUCUGAGUCUUCAUGAUUUGCAAAAGUAACGACCUGAACUUGCCAUCCCUUUGUUGGGGUCCUUCACUCCUUUCUUCAUCCUCAGCUUUUGCUUCUAAUUCAUAAAGUUGAUCUUUUAUCUGUCAAUUUGAAUUGUGAGUCCCAGAGAAGUGAGAAACAGCAGAAAAGUAACAAAAAGUGCUGAAUAAUGAAGAUUAAGAUUAUAGGAUGAAGUUACUACAAGGAGAAAGAAGGUUUAGGAUAGAGGAAGACGAAGAACAGAGGUUAAUUGGGUUUCAAUCAGUGGUGAAUGAAAUGGUGGUUCAUCAAGACUUG
This 1762-nucleotide long non-coding RNA is filed under the name Phaseolus vulgaris (common bean). Its description in RNAcentral is "long non-coding RNA (PVUL_LNC002774)". Lineage: Eukaryota; Viridiplantae; Streptophyta; Magnoliopsida; Fabales; Fabaceae. The record is from RNAcentral.